AACGGCCGCGGUAUCCUAACCGUGCGAAGGUAGCGUAAUCACUUGUUCUUUAAAUGAGGACUAGUAUGAAUGGCACCACGAGGGUUAAGCUGUCUCCUUUUUCUAAUCAGUGAAACUAAUCUCCCCGUGAAGAAGCGGGGAUUAUACUAUAAGACGAGAAGACCCUAUGGAGCUUAAAACAAAUUAACACUUGCUUCUAUCCAUUUUUACUCCUGAACUAACACAUAAAAUAUAGCAUCAUUGAUUAAUAGUUUUCGAUUGGGGUGAUCAUGGAGUAAAAACCAACCUCCACGACGAAAAGGAACACUUCCCUGAGCUAAAAGCUACAACUUUAAGCACUAAAAAAUUAACGCACUUUGACCCAAAUUUUUGAGCAACGAACCAAGUUACCCUAGGGAUAACAGCGCAAUCCAUUUCAAGAGCCCCUAUCGACAAAUGGGUUUACGACCUCGAUGUUGGAUCAGGGUAUCCCAGUGGUGCAGCCGCUACUAAAGGUUCGUUUGUUCAACGAUUAAAACCCUACGUGAUCUGAGUUCAGACCGGAGAAAUCCAGGUCAGUUUCUAUCUAUAAAGGGCUUUUUCUAGUACGAAAGGACCGAAAAAGCAUGGCCAAUGAUCAAUUAAGCCAUAUAAAUUACUCAUGUUUUCAACUCAAUUAGAAACAAACCUACCAUAAACCUCAAAAAAAGAGAAGUUAACGUAGCAAAACCUGGCCCUGCAA
RNAcentral lists this ribosomal RNA (721 nucleotides) under Boana albopunctata (spotted treefrog). RNAcentral describes it as "partial 16S ribosomal RNA". It matches the Rfam family "Bacterial large subunit ribosomal RNA", at positions 1926 to 2925 of the family's 2925-position model. The record is from RNAcentral. Lineage: Eukaryota; Metazoa; Chordata; Amphibia; Anura; Hylidae.